GUUACUGGCUCAGCAGGAGAUAGUAUUUAUGAUGCCAUAAUGCUAUAAAACACUGAAAACUGACUUAACCAAAAAACGGUGAUAUUCGGAGAAAAAGGUAAAGGAGAAGUGCAAAGGGGGCUCUGGUGCUUGUGAAAAAGCUGAAGUCCCCCUGCUCCAUCCUAGCAGGUCCAAAGAUGGUAAGAUUAAGGGUGAGGGACACAUCAGUCACAUGCUUGAGGUUACAGAGCAGAAGGCCAAGCUUAAGACUCUUUCCACUACCCUAUCUCUCCUUCACAGCCCACUGGUUUGGGCUCCAGAAUGUACUUUUGCAUCCAUUUUGUCAUCCUAUCCAUGAAGCGGGAGAGACAGAAUGAUCUCUACCUGACAGAUGAAGAAUGAAAGCUGAAAGUCAGAGGAGAAUCAGAGACAGCGAAGGCUUCAGGACUGACUGCCAUUUCAGCCAACAUGAUGGAUUAAAUAUCCCCAAACCUUCCUGCCAUCACCCUAGCAAAUAUGUCGAAUGCAUGCCUGAGCUUAAGAGCCCGCAUGGGAAGUUUUCUGAGAUCAAACAAGCACAAGUCCGGCAAGAUAAGAUAAGCACCAGAAGGCUUAAAGACAUUUGCCAUUUAAUGAUACAAAGCUACUUUAAAGUUAACUGUCUAAAAUCACAAAUAAAGAAAAAAUGUGUG
This is a long non-coding RNA of Mustela erminea (ermine), 671 nucleotides long. RefSeq lists it as uncharacterized. The record is from RefSeq and is a predicted model, not a curated record. NCBI's taxonomy places the organism in Eukaryota, Metazoa, Chordata, Mammalia, Carnivora, Mustelidae. The transcript is spliced from 3 exons.